GAUGAAGAACGUAGCGAAAUGCGAUACUUGGUGUGAAUUGCAGAAUCCCGUGAACCAUCGAGUCUUUGAACGCAAGUUGCGCCCGAAGCCAUUAGGCCGAGGGCACGCCUGCCUGGGCGUCACACGUCGUUGCCCCCCCAUCUACUCCUUCGGGAUUGCGGGGGGCGGAUGAUGGCCUCCCGUGCGCCUCGUCGCGCGGUUGGCAUAAAUGCCAAGUCCUCGGCGACGCACGCCACGACAAUCGGUGGUUGCGAAACAUCGGUUGCCCGUCGUGUGCGGUCGUCGCGCAUCGAGGGCUCGAAAAAAUUGCCGGGCUCCGGCUCGGCUUUCAACGCGACCCCAGGUCAGGCGGGGUUACCCGCUGAAUUUAAGCAUAUCAAUAGCGGAGGA
This 390-nucleotide unclassified non-coding RNA is filed under the name soil metagenome. RNAcentral describes it as "partial contains 5.8S ribosomal RNA, internal transcribed spacer 2, and large subunit ribosomal RNA". The stretch from base 1 to 122 matches the Rfam family "5.8S ribosomal RNA", at positions 35 to 154 of the family's 154-position model. The record is from RNAcentral.